GGCAUGGCAGACGCACAGUGGUGUUGACGGGUAACGGGGAAUUAGGGUUCGAUUCCGGAGAGGGAGCCUGAGAGACGGCUACCACUUCUAAGGAAGGCAGCAGGCGCGCAAAUUACCCACUGGCCGAAGGCCGAGGUAGUGACGAAAAAUAACGAUACCGGACUCAUCCGAGGCCCGGUAAUCGGAAUGAGUACACUUUAAAUCCUUUAACGAGGAACCAUUGGAGGGCAAGUCUGGUGCCAGCAGCCGCGGUAAUUCCAGCUCCAAUAGCGUAUAUUAAAGUUGUUGCGGUUAAAAAGCUCGUAGUUGGAUCUCAGCAGGCAGGGGGCGGUGCGUUUUUUGACGCGACUGCCUGUUUUGCCUGCGACUUUUCUCGGUGGAGUCGACCGGGUGCUCUUUAUUGAGUGUCCGUUUUGUCGGGCCACCAGGUUUACUUUGAAAAAAUUAGAGUGCUCCAAGCAGGCCGCAUACGCCUGAAUACUCGUGCAUGGAAUAAUGGAAUAGGACGUCGUUCCUAUUUUGUUGGUUUUCGGGAAUCGACGUAAUGAUUAAUAGGGACAGCCGGGGGCAUUAGUAUUCAGACGACAGAGGUGAAAUUCUUGGACCGUCUGAAGACUGACGACUGCGAAAGCAUUUGCCAAGAGUGUUUUCAUUAAUCAAGAACGAAAGUUAGAGGUUCGAAGGCGAUCAGAUACCGCCCUAGUUCUAACCAUAAACGAUGCCAGCUAGCGAUCCGUGGGCGUUUUCCUUGUAGGCCCCACGGGCAGCUUCCGGGAAACCAAAGCGUUUGGGUUCCGGGGGAAGUAUGGUUGCAAAGCUGAAACUUAAAAGAAUUGACGGAAGGGCACCACCAGGCGUGGAGCCUGCGGCUUUAUUUGACUCACACGGGAAAUCUCACCGGGCCCGGACCCGGAA
RNAcentral lists this ribosomal RNA (915 nucleotides) under Lernaea cyprinacea. Its description in RNAcentral is "SSU rRNA". It matches the Rfam family "Eukaryotic small subunit ribosomal RNA", at positions 330 to 1235 of the family's 1831-position model. Lineage: Eukaryota; Metazoa; Arthropoda; Copepoda; Cyclopoida; Lernaeidae. The record is from RNAcentral.